This 477-nucleotide ribosomal RNA is filed under the name uncultured bacterium. Its description in RNAcentral is "bacterial SSU rRNA". It matches the Rfam family "Bacterial small subunit ribosomal RNA", at positions 365 to 832 of the family's 1533-position model. The record is from RNAcentral.
UUCGCAAUGCCCGAAAGGGUGACGAAGCGACGCCGCGUGUGGGAAGAAGGCCUUCGGGUUGUAAACCACUGUCGGGAGUUAAGAAAUGCAAGGAUAUUAAUAGUGUCUUUGCUUGACUAAGGCUCCGGAGGAAGCCACGGCUAACUCUGUGCCAGCAGCCGCGGUAAUACAGAGGCGGCAAGCGUUGUUCGGAAUUAUUGGGCGUAAAGAGCACGUAGGCGGCUAUGUAAGUCGGUUGUGAAAGCCUUCCGCUCAACGGGAGAACAGCAUCCGAUACUACAUGGCUUGAGUGCGGGAGGGGAGAGUGGAACUUCUGGUGGAGCGGUGAAAUGCGUAGAUAUCAGAAGGAACGCCGGCGGCGAAAGCGGCUCUCUGGCCCAUAACUGACGCUGAGUGUGCGAAAGCUAGGGGAGCAAACGGGAUUAGAUACCCCGGUAGUCCUAGCCGUAAACGAUGGGCACUAAGUAGAGGGGUUUU